GUUCUUGACCUUCGGAUGGGUGGUUAGCAAGGAGGCUAAGAAGAGGGGAUGGAAAGGUAACCAAAUCACUGUACAUAUUUGUUGCAGAUGUUAAGGACACCUCUAAAUUGUUGUAGAAUUUUGUGCAGGUGUGUCCUCCGUUGGUUCCAAGAAUUUAGACAACUCAUUUUCAAGUAUCUUCCUAUUGUGGAAAUGAUGUAUAUUAGUGUAUGGGACAGGUGAACUACUCUACAGUACCAAGCCUGCCACACAAAAGAAGACAACAAAUAUUUGCGACCGCUUGUUUUAUAGUCUACCGAAUAUUACGACAGUAACUACAAACAUUGUAUCAUGAAUUGGUUGAUUGUGGCAAUGUGGUUUAUCAAUUGGAUGCACCAGAUUAGUGUGGAUUCUAGAACAAAUUCUUUGUCCUUUAGAUUUGUACUAUCCUAUUCCGGUUCUAAUACUUCAUUUGAGAAAUAGAG
This 464-nucleotide long non-coding RNA is filed under the name Setaria viridis. RNAcentral describes it as "long non-coding RNA (SVIR_LNC010197)". Lineage: Eukaryota; Viridiplantae; Streptophyta; Magnoliopsida; Poales; Poaceae. The record is from RNAcentral.